GACGAACGCUGGCGGCGUGCUUAACACAUGCAAGUCGAACGGAAAGGCCCUGCUUUUGUGGGGUGCUCGAGUGGCGAACGGGUGAGUAACACGUGAGUAACCUGCCCUUGACUUUGGGAUAACUUCAGGAAACUGGGGCUAAUACCGGAUAGGAGCUCCUGCUGCAUGGUGGGGGUUGGAAAGUUUCGGCGGUUGGGGAUGGACUCGCGGCUUAUCAGCUUGUUGGUGGGGUAGUGGCUUACCAAGGCUUUGACGGGUAGCCGGCCUGAGAGGGUGACCGGCCACACUGGGACUGAGAUACGGCCCAGACUCCUACGGGCGGCAGCAGUGGGGAAUAUUGCACAAUGGGCGGAAGCCUGAUGCAGCAACGCCGCGUGCGGGAUGACGGCCUUCGGGUUGUAAACCGCUUUCGCCUGUGACGAAGCGUGAGUGACGGUAAUGGGUAAAGAAGCACCGGCUAACUACGUG
RNAcentral lists this ribosomal RNA (468 nucleotides) under uncultured bacterium. Its description in RNAcentral is "partial 16S ribosomal RNA". It matches the Rfam family "Bacterial small subunit ribosomal RNA", at positions 28 to 507 of the family's 1533-position model. The record is from RNAcentral.